UAGGGAAUCUUCGGCAAUGGGGGGAACCCUGACCGAGCAACGCCGCGUGAGUGAAGAAGGUUUUCGGAUCGUAAAGCUCUGUUGUUAAGGAAGAACGAGUGUGAGAAUGGAAAGUUCAUGCUGUGACGGUACUUAACCAGAAAGGGACGGCUAACUACGUGCCAGCAGCCGCGGUAAUACGUAGGUCCCGAGCGUUGUCCGGAUUUAUUGGGCGUAAAGCGAGCGCAGGCGGUUAGAAAAGUCUGAAGUGAAAGGCAGUGGCUCAACCAUUGUAGGCUUUGGAAACUGGUUAACUUGAGUGCAGAAGAGGAGGGUGGAAUUCCAUGUGAAGCGGUGAAAUGCGUAGAUAUAUGGAGGAACACCAGUGGCGAAGGCGACUCUCUGGUCUGUAACUGACGCUGAGGCUCGAAAGCGUGGGUAGCAAACAGG
RNAcentral lists this ribosomal RNA (429 nucleotides) under Bacteroidota bacterium. Its description in RNAcentral is "Bacteroidetes bacterium partial 16S ribosomal RNA". It matches the Rfam family "Bacterial small subunit ribosomal RNA", at positions 355 to 776 of the family's 1533-position model. The record is from RNAcentral. Lineage: Bacteria; Pseudomonadati; Bacteroidota.